RNAcentral lists this ribosomal RNA (253 nucleotides) under uncultured bacterium. RNAcentral describes it as "partial 16S ribosomal RNA". It matches the Rfam family "Bacterial small subunit ribosomal RNA", at positions 524 to 776 of the family's 1533-position model. The record is from RNAcentral.
GACGAACCGUGCAAACGUUGUUCGGAAUCACUGGGCUUAAAGGGCGCGCAGGCGGUCGUACAAGUCGCGUGUGAAAGCCCCCGGCUCAACUGGGGAGGGUCACGCGAUACUGUUCGACUCGAAGGCAGGAGAGGGAAGCGGAAUUCCCGGUGUAGUGGUGAAAUGCGUAGAUAUCGGGAGGAACACCAGUGGCGAAGGCGGCUUCCUGGCCUGUUCUUGACGCUGAGGCGCGAAAGCUAGGGUAGCAAACGGG